Molecule: ribosomal RNA, 326 nt
Filed under: uncultured eukaryote
Lineage: Eukaryota
Description: partial 18S ribosomal RNA
Rfam family: Eukaryotic small subunit ribosomal RNA
Source: RNAcentral
CCCUUAGAUGUCCUGGGCCGCACGCGCGUUACACUGAUGCAUUCAACGAGCUUAUAACCUUGGCCGAGAGGCCUGGGCAAUCUUGUUAACGUGCAUCGUGAUAGGGAUAGAUUAUUGAAAUUAUUAAUCUUGAACGAGGAAUUCCUAGUAAACGCAGAUCAUCAAUCUGCAUUGAUUACGUCCCUGCCCUUUGUACACACCGCCCGUCGCACCUACCGAUUGAGUGAUCCGGUGAAUAAUUCGGACUGCAGCAAUGUUUGGAUCCCGAACGUUGCAGCGGAAAGUUUAGUGAACCUUAUCACUUAGAGGAAGGAGAAGUCGUAACA